This 252-nucleotide ribosomal RNA is filed under the name uncultured bacterium. Its description in RNAcentral is "partial 16S ribosomal RNA". It matches the Rfam family "Bacterial small subunit ribosomal RNA", at positions 524 to 776 of the family's 1533-position model. The record is from RNAcentral.
UACGGGGGGAGCAAGCGUUGUUCGGAUUACUGGCGUAAAGGGCGCGUAGGCGGCCAGCACAAGUCAGUUGUGAAAUCUCCGGGCUUAACUCGGAAAGGUCAACUGAUACUGUGCGGCUAGAGUGCAGAAGGGGCAACUGGAAUUCUCGGUGUAGCGGUGAAAUGCGUAGAUAUCGAGAGGAACACCUGCGGCGAAGGCGGGUUGCUGGGCUGACACUGACGCUGAUGCGCGAAAGCGUGGGGAGCGAACAGG